Long non-coding RNA from Camelina sativa (false flax), 937 nucleotides. RefSeq lists it as uncharacterized. Lineage: Eukaryota; Viridiplantae; Streptophyta; Magnoliopsida; Brassicales; Brassicaceae. The record is from RefSeq and is a predicted model, not a curated record.
UUUUAGAUUACAAGAAAACAUUUAUUUAUCUAAGCAAACCACAAAAGCUUAAAGGAUCAUAUUUCAGUACUACUUAUAAUCACAUUUCUUUAUCGGGAAAACAGAACUGAAAAAAGAAGGCAUAUAUCGGACAAAUUUUCCCAUUAGCUUAGUAAACAAUAUAAUAUGGGCCUUCUAAUCCCUCAAUGUACACGUGAAGCCUGGGCAUUCGCUACAAACCGAAAGAACCGAACCGAAUAAACCGACAAAUUCGGUUAUCGGCACCGAUUGUGAGAGGAGAUACAAACCGUUCGGCGAGAUUUUUUUGGGAUUUCAGUAUUCGGUUCGGUUCGGUUCGGCGAGCUGAAACCGAUCGGGUUUCUCAGUUUUACUCUAACCCUUCAGAUUCCGCUCCCAUCCAACGAGAAUCUGACUCAAACUCUGCAAAUCGGCCAUGGAUAACAAUGAGAGGCUAUAAAGAAGACGAUGAAUGUGAAAUAUAUAGUUGCUGUCGAUUUGUGUGUUUAUGGGCUUAAACUUGAUUUUUAUUGUUUCACAACCAAACCCAAUAAAAUGGCUAAAAAUUGAGCCCACUAAAUCAUAUGCCAUAACUAUAUAAAAAAAACCUAGUUUAUCAUUGAUUCUCCAGUCACGACCAUAAUCUUCCUUUUGCCGACAUCAUAUCUAUCGCUUCUUCACAUGUUGCUCAUGAAGUAUUCCUUGCUGAGAGAUCUGAAGCUUCAGUUCUAGUGGGGAUGAUGAUCGAAGGUCAAAGAUUUCGUCGAGAAAGAUUUCUAUGCGGUUAGCUGAUAUCAAGCUUCAUCGGAUGGAGAGAUCGAAUGUGGUACGCCGUCGCCUCACCAUUUUGUCGAAAACCCUAAACGUAGUUGGGUUUGAGUUGUAAUUUUUAGUUGGACAUGUUAUAAGUUUUUAAGGUAUAUAUUUGAGCCCAUUAACA